Molecule: transfer RNA, 74 nt
Filed under: Omnitrophica WOR_2 bacterium RIFCSPHIGHO2_01_FULL_52_10
Lineage: Bacteria; Pseudomonadati; Candidatus Omnitrophota
Description: tRNA-Pro
Rfam family: tRNA
About the family: Transfer RNA (tRNA) molecules are approximately 80 nucleotides in length.
Source: RNAcentral
CGGAGCGUAGCGCAGUUGGCUAGCGCACUUGAAUGGGGUUCAAGAGGUCGACGGUUCAAAUCCGUCCGCUCCGA